RNAcentral lists this small nucleolar RNA (128 nucleotides) under Astyanax mexicanus (Mexican tetra). RNAcentral describes it as "Small nucleolar RNA SNORA24 (ENSAMXG00000036334.1)". The record is from RNAcentral. Lineage: Eukaryota; Metazoa; Chordata; Actinopteri; Characiformes; Acestrorhamphidae.
UUCCACGUUACCAUGGGAGCUGUGUUCCUAUGACUGCUUCCCUUCCUAGGCGUGGAACAGUGUCCUCCCAGUUUACCUGCACCGGCUUCAUGAGUAUCAGUCAUGUGAUGCAGAGGCAGGAACUGUUG